This is a non-coding RNA of Pantherophis guttatus, 633 nucleotides long. NCBI's taxonomy places the organism in Eukaryota, Metazoa, Chordata, Lepidosauria, Squamata, Colubridae. The record is from RefSeq and is a predicted model, not a curated record.
AACGCCUUGUAACUUCUAGCUGGUGCUUCCUCUUCAGGCUUCACCUGGUCAUUGAGCUCUCUAUCAUCUCACUCCACCUUCUUCUCCAGCCUUCACAUCUACCCUCUCAAAAGACCAGCUUUUGAGCUUAGCAGCCCUGAGAUCAGACUUCUGUGCUCUCAGGAGCUAGGGCUUACUUAUAAGAAGGUUGAUGUUUUCCCUUCAACACAGGGCCAUUGAUGUAAUAAAGCCUCACCAAUAAUCUUCAAGCACAAGGCAUCAUGGGAUACUAGGAAGGACUUAAAAGAAGUGAGAAGGAUUUUUAAGAAGGAAAAACUGGAAAAACAAUGACAUACCAUCAGAAGACAAGGAUAAAAGUGUUUUCUAUUUUAUAUGCAUAACAUUUCAUUUAAACUGGGUGAUGCAACUGUAGCAAACAAGAUGGGAACCAGAAGCUAUAAUACAGGAGUCCCCAACCUGUAGGCUGUGGUCUGGCACUGGGGUCCAUGGCAUGGACCAAGCCACCAAACAAGCAAAGUCCCAUCUACGGGAUGCAGGCAGCAUGUGAAACCACGCGCCCUCCAGUCCGUGGAAAAAUCUCUCUCAACAGAACCUAAUUUUAAGCAAUUAAAAAUUAUUUUAAUUUUUGCCAUU